AAUGAACGCUGGCGGCAGGCCUAACACAUGCAAGUCGAACGGAUCCUUCGGGAUUAGUGGCGGACGGGUGAGUAACGCGUGGGAACAUACCCUUUGGUACGGAGUAGCCUCGGGAAACUGGGAGUAAUACCGUAUGUGGUCGAGAGACGAAAGAUUUAUCGCCAAAGGAUUGGCCCGCGUUGGAUUAGGUAGUUGGUGGGGUAAUGGCCUACCAAGCCGACGAUCCAUAGCUGGUUUGAGAGGAUGAUCAGCCACACUGGGACUGAGACACGGCCCAGACUCCUACGGGAGGCAACAGUGGGGAAUCUUAGACAAUGGGGGAAACCCUGAUCUAGCCAUGCCGCGUGAUCGAUGAAGGCCUUAGGGUUGUAAAGAUCUUUCAGGUGGGAAGAUAAUGACUGUACCACCAGAAGAAGCCCCGGCUAACUCCGUGCCAGCCGCCCGGUAA
RNAcentral lists this ribosomal RNA (448 nucleotides) under uncultured bacterium. RNAcentral describes it as "partial 16S ribosomal RNA". It matches the Rfam family "Bacterial small subunit ribosomal RNA", at positions 29 to 523 of the family's 1533-position model. The record is from RNAcentral.